AUGAGAUGGCCUGGAAGCGAGACUGCUCUGAACACCUUUUGUGCCCAACAGAACGGGCGUCCACAGGCCGGCCCUCGUGCACAAGUCUGGAUCAUGGCCACAGCGGCGGCGAGCUUACCCAUCGCCUGCCUCAACGUCGCCUUCCUGCUCCUGCUCGCCUUCUUCUACGUCUCGCGCCCUGCCGUGCCGCCGGACUCGGCGACGUCCAUGAACGGCUGGAGCGGCGACGAGCGCGAGGGGCACGGUCAUGGCGGCGGCUGCGACGGUGCUCACCGGCGGCUGGAGGCUGACAAGGACAGCUGCCCGCGGGGACGGGGCUACGUCGAUUACCUUUACCUGUUCUACUGCGUCUGCGGCGACGAGCACCGGGCCCUUGGGUACGCCGCGAUGGCCGCGUGGCUCGCCGUGCUCUUCUACGUCCUGGGCGACACCGCCGCGGUCUACUUCUGCUCCAGCCUCGAGGGCCUCUCGCGCCUGCUCCGCCUGUCCCCGGCCGUGGCCGGCGUGACGCUCCUCUCGCUGGGCAACGGCGCGCCGGACGCGCUCUCCACCGUCGCCUCUUUCGCGUCGGGCGGAGGCGGCGGGAAGGGGGCGAGCACCGCCGUGGGUCUCAACGGCUUGCUCGGCGGCGCGCUGUUCGUGUCCUCCGCCGUGCUCGGCGUCAUCUGCCUCCGCGUCGGCGGCCGCGGUGUCGCCAUCGACAGAGGCAGCUUCUUCCGGGACGCAUGCUUCCUCCUCCUCGCCCUCGCCGCCGUCGCCGUCGUCCUCGCCGUGGGCGAGGUCAGCAUAUGGGGCGCCCUCGCCUUCACCUCCCUCUACCUUGUAUACGUCCUCGUCGUCGUCUUCAUCCACGGCAGAUCGCACGACGGAGAGGCAGAGGCGGCGUGGGUCGACAACACCCCGGCCUCGUCCGAGCUCUGCAACGUCGUGGAGACGGAUUUUUACGCCCCGGACCAAGAUCCGCUGCUCCCCGAAACGGCGCCCCUCCUGCAGUACUACGCCGGCGACGCAACGAAGAAGAAGAGGAGCGUGUUCUGGUCGGUGGUGUGCGUGCUGGAGCUACCUCUGUACCUCCCGCGGCGGCUGACCAUACCGGACGCGAGCGAGGAGCGCUGGAGCAAGCCGGCCGCGGUCGCCGCGGCGACCCUUUCCCCUGUCUUCCUCUCCUGCCUAUGGAGCCACGCCACCGGGAGCCCGCUUCUCGCCCCCCUCCUCGACGGCAUCGCCGGCCUGUUCCUGGGCCUGCUCGCCUUCCUCGGCACGAACGCUGAUGCCCCGCCGACGAAAUUCCUCUCGGCCUGGCUCGCCGGUGGGUUCGUCAUGAGCGUGGCCUGGGAGUACGUCAUCGCGAACGAGCUCCUCUCCCUUCUCGUGUCCGCCGGCCUGGUGCUGGGCGUGGAUCCGGCGACGCUGGGGAUGACAGUUCUAGCAUGGGGCAACUCGCUGGGCGACCUCAUCGCCAACGUGGCCGUGGCCGUGGCGGCGCGCCGCGGUGGAGCCCAGGUGGCCGUAGCCGGUUGCUACGGCGGGCCGGUGUUCAACGUCCUCGUUGGGCUGGGCCUGUCUCUGCUGCUUUCUUGCUGGGUCGGGUACCCGAAUCCGGUAGCGAUACCCUGGGAGCCCAGGCUUUAUCAGACGCUAGGCUGGGUAGCUACUGGGCUUUUCUGGGCCUUCGUCAUGCUCCCGAGAAGGGGCAUGAAGGUGGAUAGGACGCUGGGCUUUGGGCUCCUUGCCAUAUACUUGUGUUUCUUGUGUACUACUCCCUGCCUUUUUGCUUAA
This 1779-nucleotide ribosomal RNA is filed under the name Triticum aestivum (bread wheat). Its description in RNAcentral is "partial small subunit ribosomal RNA". Lineage: Eukaryota; Viridiplantae; Streptophyta; Magnoliopsida; Poales; Poaceae. The record is from RNAcentral.